UCACUUUCAACAACGGAUCUCUUGGCUCUCGCAUCGAUGAAGAACGUAGCGAAGUGCGAUAAGUAGUGUGAAUUGCAGAAUUCCGUGAAUCAUCGAAUCUUUGAACGCAAAUUGCACUCCCUGGUAUUCCGGGGAGUAUGCCUGUUUGAGGGUCUUUA
RNAcentral lists this ribosomal RNA (158 nucleotides) under uncultured fungus. Its description in RNAcentral is "5.8S ribosomal RNA". It matches the Rfam family "5.8S ribosomal RNA". Rfam says of the family: 5.8S ribosomal RNA (5.8S rRNA) is a component of the large subunit of the eukaryotic ribosome. It is transcribed by RNA polymerase I as part of the 45S precursor that also contains 18S and 28S rRNA. The record is from RNAcentral. Lineage: Eukaryota; Fungi.